GAUGAAGAACGUAGCGAAAUGCGAUAAGUAAUGUGAAUUGCAGAAUCCAGUGAAUCAUCGAAUCUUUGAACGCACAUUGCGCCCGCCAGUAUUCUGGCGGGCAUGCCUGUUCGAGCGUCAUUACAACCCUCAGGCCCCCGGGCCUGGCGUUGGGGAUCGGCGGAAGCCCCCUGCGGGCACAACGCCGUCCCCCAAAUACAGUGGCGGUCCCGCCGCAGCUUCCAUUGCGUAGUAGCUAACACCUCGCAACUGGAGAGCGGCGCGGCCACGCCGUAAAACACCCAACUUCUGAAUGUUGACCUCGAAUCAGGUAGGAAUACCCGCUGAACUUAAGCAUAUCAAUAAGCGGAGGA
RNAcentral lists this unclassified non-coding RNA (353 nucleotides) under soil metagenome. RNAcentral's name for it is "partial contains 5.8S ribosomal RNA, internal transcribed spacer 2, and large subunit ribosomal RNA". The stretch from base 1 to 120 matches the Rfam family "5.8S ribosomal RNA", at positions 35 to 154 of the family's 154-position model. The record is from RNAcentral.